CUCCGGUUGAUCCCGCCGGACCUGACUGCUAUCGGAUUGGUACUAAGCCAUGCGAGUCGUUGUAGCAAUACAAGGCGGACGGCUCAGUAACACGUAGUCAACCUAACCCGUGGACGUGGAUAACCUCGGGAAACUGAGAAUAAACCGCGAUAGAUCAUUAUGCCUGGAAUGGCUUAUGGUUCAAACAAUUUAUUGCCGUAGGAUGGGACUGCGGCCUAUCAGCUUGUUGGUGAGGUAAUGGCCCACCAAGGCUAUAACAGGUACGGGCUCUGAGAGGAGAAGCCCGGAGAUGGGUACUGAGACACGGACCCAGGCCCUAUGGGGCGCAGCAGGCGAGAAACCUUAGCAAUGUGCGAAAGCACGACUAGGUUAAUCCGAGUGAUUUCUGUUGAAGAAAUCUUUUGUCAGUCGUAAAACCACAGACGAAUAAGGGGUGGGCAAGUCUGGUGUCAGCCGCCGCGGUAAUACCAGCACCUCGAGUGGUCAGGAGGUUUAUUGGGCCUAAAGCAUCCGUAGCCGGCUACGCAAGUCUCCGGUUAAAUCCAGCUGCUCAACAGAUGGGCUGCCGGAGAUACUACAUAGCUAGGGAGCGGGAGAGGUAGACGGUAUUCUGUGGGUAGGGGUAAAAUCCACUGAUCCAUAGAGGACCACCAGUGGCGAAGGCGGUCUACCAGAACGCGUUCGACGGUGAGGGAUGAAAGCUGGGGGAGCAAACCGGAUUAGAUACCCGGGUAGUCCCAGCUGUAAACGAUGCAAACUCGGUGAUGCAUUGGCUUAUGGCCAAUGCAGUGCCGCAGGGAAGCCGUUAAGUUUGCCGCCUGGGAAGUACGGACGCAAGUCUGAAACUUAAGGGAAUUGGCGGGGGAGCA
Molecule: ribosomal RNA, 869 nt
Filed under: uncultured archaeon
Lineage: Archaea
Description: bacterial SSU rRNA
Rfam family: Archaeal small subunit ribosomal RNA
Source: RNAcentral